RNAcentral lists this ribosomal RNA (775 nucleotides) under uncultured Neocallimastigales. Its description in RNAcentral is "partial large subunit ribosomal RNA". It matches the Rfam family "Eukaryotic large subunit ribosomal RNA", at positions 26 to 616 of the family's 3401-position model. Lineage: Eukaryota; Fungi; Neocallimastigomycota; Neocallimastigomycetes; Neocallimastigales. The record is from RNAcentral.
CGCAUCUGUGCAUGCAGCAUAUCAAUAAGCGGAGGAAAAGAAACUAACAAGGAUUCCCCUAGUAACGGCGAGUGAAGCGGGAAGAGCUCAAAUUUGAAAUCUUAAAGGGUUUCCCUUUACGAAUUGUAGUUUAAAGAGGUGUUUUCUGUUGAGGUUUUGGUAAAAGUUCUUUGGAAUAGGACAUCAUAGAGGGUGAGAAUCCCGUAUUUGACCUUUACUUUCAACUUUGUGAUACACUUUCAAAGAGUCGGAUUGUUUGGGAAUGCAGUCCAAAAUGGGUGGUAAAUUUCAUCUAAAGCUAAAUAUUGGCGAGAGACCGAUAGCGAACAAGUACCGUGAGGGAAAGAUGAAAAGAACUUUGAAAAGAGAGUUAAACAGUACGUGAAAUUGUCAAAAGGGAAGCGUUUGACACCAGUGUUGUUUUUCCGAAAAUCAAUUACGAAUGGCUUGAUUUUGUGUUGUAUUGACCUUAUCAGCUUUCUGCACUUUUUUCGAGUCUUUCUUAAUGCACUUUUUCGGUUAACAAGUCAACAUCAAUUUCUUUUGUUGUAAAAGAGUAUUCGGAAGGUGGCUUUCUUUUCGGAGAAAGUGUCUAUAGCCCUAUACUUCUACAAUCGGAGAGAUUGAGGUCUGCAGCGUAGAUCCUUCGGGGUUAGAUACAUUUGUGCUAAGUUGUAGCUUUUCAUAGACAACUUGUUGACUAUGUUUAGUCAUGCGGCUUACUCGCUUAUGCUAUUUUACCUACGCUUAGGAUGUUGAGCGCAUGUCUCUCUCU